This is a long non-coding RNA of Lacerta agilis (Sand lizard), 479 nucleotides long. RefSeq lists it as uncharacterized. Lineage: Eukaryota; Metazoa; Chordata; Lepidosauria; Squamata; Lacertidae. The record is from RefSeq and is a predicted model, not a curated record. The transcript is spliced from 3 exons.
CCUUCCUUCCUGCCUUCUAUAAUCCUGUUUAUGCAAGGGGUCUGUAGCAGAACUUCCAAGCUGACCGGCACUCUCCUCCUCAAAGCAUGGUGUGACUUAUAAUUGGUGCUUGCCGCUAUGUGGCUAGGAGAAUAGCAGCAUCGCUGCGCAACGAGGAUCUGGGGGAGCCUGCGUUGGCGUGCAAGAAUGGGGUGUGCCCGCUGGGCAAGCAAAAAAGCACAAUGCCGCCAUAUACUAGUUCCCCUGUCAGCCAAGUGGCGCCCCGCCCUGCUGCCACGUCAGAAGUUGGGAUCCAGAAGCCACAUUCUUGAUGGAAUAAAAUGAGGGAUGGCAGGAGGAGAAUGACGGUCUGUUUGACAACUCCUGUGCACGCAGGAAUCGAACAGACCUGAGCAUCCUUCAGCUUCCCCUCCACCUCACCGUUCCGCUGUUAAAUCUGCUUAAAUAAAAGAAGCACUUUGCGUGCUCUAAUACACCAA